This is a long non-coding RNA of Vicia villosa (hairy vetch), 2160 nucleotides long. RefSeq lists it as uncharacterized. The record is from RefSeq and is a predicted model, not a curated record. The transcript is spliced from 9 exons. Lineage: Eukaryota; Viridiplantae; Streptophyta; Magnoliopsida; Fabales; Fabaceae.
CACUUCUCAAAAUUCUCACGCUCUCCUCUUUCUCUUCCAAAACGGUUUCUCCUCUUCUUUCAAAACCGACACAUUCUCUUCACUCACCAUUCUCUUCAAUGCACGGUUACAUUACAUUGACUGUUUGUCUUCCCAUUUUCAAAACGAUUCAAUCUAUCUUCAAUUACCAUUCUCUUCAUCUCCAUUCAACUUUCACAACCGCCCACAUCCACCUCUGCCUACUCCGCUCUAGAUCGAAACCAGCGUCGCCUGCAACUGCUGAUUUUGCCGUCGUAUCCCCAACACCGACGACUACACCACCGCCGCGCAUCUACGGUUGAAACAUGGUAUGUCGAUAUUGGCUUUUGGUUCCUGAUGGAAAUAGAUAGAAAGAUGUGAUAAAGGGCUUUUUCAGGGCUUAAUUAGAGGCUAAAAUCAGAAACAAAUGGAGGAUAGCAACAAACCGAAUUCCCAUCACAAGGGUCUCCGACCAAAAUCACCUAAGGGUCUUCGAACCGGUUAAAUCGGCACUGCUGAUAAAAAGAUAAGUGUAUUUACUUACAACUGGUACCAUUACAUCAAUUCUAUUAUGUAAUUGUUAAAACUGUUCUUUCAUAAACUUAAUGAAUCUCUGUCUUGAUGUAAAUUCAGUGGUAAAUCAAAGAAUGUUAAUCUGAUUGCCCCACUCCGAAGCCAACGUUCAAUUCAUCCAAUAGAAGAAUCAACAUAAUUCAGCAGUGAAGUCACAAUUGAUGUUGCAAUUGAAUACAAAUUUUGAUUUGGCAAUGUUUAAUGGAGAAAUCCUAUGUCAGAACAUGUAUUGCUCAAUCAGCGGGAACUGACGCUGGUGUUUCAGAGGAUGAUUCUUCUUUUGAUGACUUUUUUUAAUGUUGGCAAAUAGUUUAUGUUACUUCAGGCUCACAGUCUCCAACUUGAGGCCUUUUCAGUUUCCAAUAAGAGAUUAGAUCCCGGCUUGCCGAAACCUAAGCUCCAAUUUGUCAGCAGCUGUAGAAAUAAAUCAGAUGAAGAUAGACUACAAAUCUUAAAAGAGAAAUCAAUUGAGCUGAAUGUGAAUGAACAAGUGGAAUUCCACAAGAAUGUAACAUACAGGAAUGAGGAGUUCUUUUAUUCCUGACUGUCGUGUUAAUCUAUUUCUGAAUGUGAAAGCAGUUUAUUUUAUGAUCCCUUUGCCAAUAAAAUUUAUGAUUAUGCCAAUGGAAUUGCUGCUUUGAGGUCCUUAAAGCUAGAAACCAUGAUCCCAGCUCAGCUGUCAUUUAAAGAUUAUCCUGGGCGGAACUGAGUCAUACAACUGUUGUACCGAAUGAUCUCGGGGCUGAACAUAGUCAUACAAAUGUUGUACCGAAUGAUGCAGGGGCAAAACUGAAUCCUACAGCUGAUAUACCGAAUAUUGUAGGUGCUGGCUGAAAGCAUAUUAAGGGCGUGUGUGGAUCAACCGUAAGAUCGUAAACACCAUCGUGGAUUGAUGAAAUGAUGCAAGCUUGGCUUAGACUGCAUCUCUGCUGUUUUGAUGCUGCAUGUUUUGAUGCAAGCUUGGAAAAGGUUGUUGAUUUCGGUCUUUCGAGGUCAGGUCCAUGUUUCAUGGAAAUCAAACAACAAUGCCCACACAAAUCAGUACCUCUAAGCAAGUGCUAACAUGUUCUGGUGGCCAGUUUCGGUUAUAACGGUUCGAACUUUCUUGUGCGUGCAAAUCCGAGGAAGGUUCCAUGCAGUCGUCGCGAAAUAUAGCCCGGGAGGUAAAAUUCUACAGAUAUUAGAGGAUAGCAAAUCCGAGGAAGGUUCCAUGCAGUCGUCGCGAAAUAUAGCCCGGGAGGUAAAAUUCUACAGAUAUUAGAGGAUAACGAGGGAAAGGUUGUUAAAGAAGUGAGUUAAGUGGAGGAGAAGGAUGGUAAACUCUGGAUGGGGAGUGUUUUGAUGCCUGUCAUUGCAGUUUACCAUUUGACACGAAGCAUGUUGAAGAAAUUACAAGUUGGUUUUCCUCUAUUUGAUUAUGAUGUCAUGAAAAACAGACUACAAAAGUAGCACUAUCAUGAAAAAUAACAGCAAAAAAAGAUUGUAAACUUCGGUCUAUCAUUACUGGAAAACUCUUUUUAGAAUAGAUUAAUGAAAGAUAGAUAUAUAGACUCUCCUUAAAAAUAUAAGCUGGUGCGAUUUGUUGUUGUU